UACGGGGGGAGCAAGCGUUGUUCGGAUUUACUGGGCGUAAAGGGCGCGUAGGCGGCCACCGCAAGUCGGGCGUGAAAUCUCCGGGCUUAACCCGGAAGGGUCGUUCGAUACUGUUGAGCUAGAGUGUGGAAGAGGCAACUAGAAUUCCGUGUGUAGCGGUGAAAUGCGUAGAUAUACGGAGGAAUACCUGAGGCGAAGGCGGGUUGCUGGGCCAACACUGACGCUGAGGCGCGAAAGCCAGGGGAGCAAACGGG
Molecule: ribosomal RNA, 254 nt
Filed under: uncultured bacterium
Lineage: Bacteria
Description: partial 16S ribosomal RNA
Rfam family: Bacterial small subunit ribosomal RNA
Source: RNAcentral